This 29-nucleotide non-coding RNA is filed under the name Homo sapiens (human). Lineage: Eukaryota; Metazoa; Chordata; Mammalia; Primates; Hominidae. The record is from RNAcentral.
UGAAGAGUGAGGGCUUCCUGAUUGGCAAU